UACGAAGGGUGCAAGCGUUACUCGGAAUUACUGGGCGUAAAGCGUGUGUAGGUGGUUUGUUAAGUCUGUUGUGAAAGCCCCGGGCUCAACCUGGGAAUGGCAAUGGAUACUGGCAAGCUAGAGUGCGGUAGAGGGUAGUGGAAUUCCCGGUGUAGCGGUGAAAUGCGUAGAGAUCGGGAGGAACACCAGUGGCGAAGGCGGCUACCUGGACCAGCACUGACACUGAGGCACGAAAGCGUGGGGAGCAAACAGG
Molecule: ribosomal RNA, 253 nt
Filed under: uncultured bacterium
Lineage: Bacteria
Description: partial 16S ribosomal RNA
Rfam family: Bacterial small subunit ribosomal RNA
Source: RNAcentral